Molecule: ribosomal RNA, 459 nt
Filed under: uncultured bacterium
Lineage: Bacteria
Description: partial 16S ribosomal RNA
Rfam family: Bacterial small subunit ribosomal RNA
Source: RNAcentral
CCUACGGGUGGCAGCAGUGAGGAAUAUUGGUCAAUGGGCGUAAGCCUGAACCAGCCAAGUCGCGUGAGGGAUGAAGGUUCUAUGGAUCGUAAACCUCUUUUAUCAGGGAAUAAAGUGUGGGACGUGUCCUGUUUUGUAUGUACCUUAUGAAUAAGGAUCGGCUAACUCCGUGCCAGCAGCCGCGGUAAUACGGAGGAUCCGAGCGUUAUCCGGAUUUAUUGGGUUUAAAGGGUGCGCAGGCGGUCUGUUAAGUCAGCGGUCAAAGCCCGGGGCUCAACCCCGGCCCGCCGUUGAAACUGGCAGGCUCGAGUUGGAGAGAAGUAUGCGGAAUGCGCGGUGGAGCGGUGAAAUGCAUAGAAAUCGCGCAGAACUCCGAUUGCGAAGGCAGCAAGCCGGCUCCACACUGACGCUGAGGCACGAAAGCGUGGGUAUCGAACAGGAUUAGAUACCCGUGGAGUC